Molecule: ribosomal RNA, 927 nt
Filed under: Hypholoma fasciculare
Lineage: Eukaryota; Fungi; Basidiomycota; Agaricomycetes; Agaricales; Strophariaceae
Description: partial large subunit ribosomal RNA
Rfam family: Eukaryotic large subunit ribosomal RNA
Source: RNAcentral
CAUAGCGGAGGAAAAGAAACUAACAAGGAUUCCCCUAGUAACUGCGAGUGAAGUGAAGCGGGAAAAGCUCAAAUUUAAAAUCUGGCAGUCUUUGGCUGUCCGAGUUGUAAUCUAGAGAAGUGUUAUCCGCGCUGGACCGUGUACAAGUCUCCUGGAAUGGAGCGUCAUAGAGGGUGAGAAUCCCGUCUUUGACACGGACUGCCAGGGCUUUGUGAUGCGCUCUCAAAGAGUCGAGUUGUUUGGGAAUGCAGCUCAAAAUGGGUGGUAAAUUCCAUCUAAAGCUAAAUAUUGGCGAGAGACCGAUAGCGAACAAGUACCGUGAGGGAAAGAUGAAAAGAACUUUGGAAAGAGAGUUAAACAGUACGUGAAAUUGCUGAAAGGGAAACGCUUGAAGUCAGUCGCAUUGUGUGGGAAUCAACCUUGCUUUUGCUGGGCGUAUUUUCCAUAUGAUGGGUCAGCAUCAAUUUCGACCGUUGGAUAAAGUUCAAGGGAAUGUGGCAUCUUCGGAUGUGUUAUAGCCCUUGGUUGUAUACAACGAUUGGGAUUGAGGAACUCAGCACGCCGAAAGGCCGGGUCUCGUACCACGUUCGUGCUUAGGAUGCUGGCAUAAUGGCUUUAAUCGACCCGUCUUGAAACACGGACCAAGGAGUCUAACAUGCCUGCGAGUAUUUGGGUGAAAAACCCGAGUGCGUAAUGAAAGUGAAAGUUGAGAUCCCUGUCAUGGGGAGCAUCGACGCCCGGACCAGACCUUUUGUGACGGAUCUGCGGUAGAGCAUGUAUGUUGGGACCCGAAAGAUGGUGAACUAUGCCUGAAUAGGGUGAAGCCAGAGGAAACUCUGGUGGAGGCUCGUAGCGAUUCUGACGUGCAAAUCGAUCGUCAAAUUUGGGUAUAGGGGCGAAAGACUAAUCGAACCAUCUAGUAGCUGG